RNAcentral lists this ribosomal RNA (582 nucleotides) under Epinephelus caninus (dogtooth grouper). Its description in RNAcentral is "partial 16S ribosomal RNA". It matches the Rfam family "Bacterial large subunit ribosomal RNA", at positions 1839 to 2624 of the family's 2925-position model. The record is from RNAcentral. Lineage: Eukaryota; Metazoa; Chordata; Actinopteri; Perciformes; Serranidae.
ACAGGUUAGAGGUCCGCCUGCCCUGUGACUAUAUGUUUAACGGCCGCGGUAUUUUGACCGUGCGAAGGUAGCGCAAUCACUUGUCUUUUAAAUGGGGACCUGUAUGAAUGGCAUAACGAGGGCUUGACUGUCUCCUCUUUCAAGUCAAUGAAAUUGAUCUCCCCGUGCAGAAGCGGGGAUAAACACAUAAGACGAGAAGACCCUAUGGAGCUUUAGACACUAAAGCAGAUCAGCAUUAACAUCCUCAAUAACGGGACACAAAUCAGCUGACCCCUGCCCUAUGUCUUUGGUUGGGGCGACCGCGGAGAAAUAAAAAACCCCCGCAAGGACCGAAUGUACUUCAUUCACAACCAAGAGCGACAGCUCUAAUUAACAGAAUUUCUGACCAGUAAGAUCCGGCAAUGCCGAUCAAUGAACCGAGUUACCCUAGGGAUAACAGCGCAAUCUCCUCUUAGAGUCCAUAUCGACGAGGAGGUUUACGACCUCGAUGUUGGAUCAGGACAUCCUAAUGGUGCAGCCGCUAUUAAGGGUUCGUUUGUUCAACGAUUAAAGUCCUAACGUGAUCUGAGUUCAGAACCGGGA